This 492-nucleotide ribosomal RNA is filed under the name uncultured bacterium. RNAcentral's name for it is "partial 16S ribosomal RNA". It matches the Rfam family "Bacterial small subunit ribosomal RNA", at positions 29 to 507 of the family's 1533-position model. The record is from RNAcentral.
AGUGAACGCUGGCGGUAGGCCUAACACAUGCAAGUCGAACGGCAGCACAGUAAGAGCUUGCUCUUACGGGUGGCGAGUGGCGGACGGGUGAGGAAUACAUCGGAAUCUACUUUUUCGUGGGGGAUAACGUAGGGAAACUUACGCUAAUACCGCAUACGACCUACGGGGGAAAGCAGGGGACCUUCGGACCUUGCGCGAUUGAAUGAGCCGAUGUCGGAUUAGCUAGUUGGCGGGGUAAAGGCCCACCAAGGCGACGAUCCGUAGCUGGUCUGAGAGGAUGAUCAGCCACACUGGAACUGAGACACGGUCCAGACUCCUACGGGAGGCAGCAGUGGGGAAUAUUGGACAAUGGGCGCAAGCCUGAUCCAGCCAUACCGCGUGGGUGAAGAAGGCCUUCGGGUUGUAAAGCCCUUUUGUUGGGAAAGAAAAGCAGCAGGUUAAUACCCCGCUGUUCUGACGGUACCCAAAGAAUAAGCACCGGCUAACUUCGUG